AGAGUUUGAUCCUGGCUCAGGAUGAACGCUAGCGGGAGGCCUAAUACAUGCAAGUCGAACGGUAACAGGUAGCAAUACGCUGACGAGUGGCGCACGGGUGCGUAACGCGUACACAAUCUGCCUUAUACUGGGGCAUACCCUUUGGAAACGAAGAAUAAUUCCCCAUAGUAUUAUGAAGAGGCAUCUCUUUGUAAUUAAAA
This 200-nucleotide ribosomal RNA is filed under the name uncultured bacterium. RNAcentral describes it as "partial 16S ribosomal RNA". It matches the Rfam family "Bacterial small subunit ribosomal RNA", at positions 8 to 206 of the family's 1533-position model. The record is from RNAcentral.